RNAcentral lists this ribosomal RNA (466 nucleotides) under uncultured bacterium. RNAcentral's name for it is "bacterial SSU rRNA". It matches the Rfam family "Bacterial small subunit ribosomal RNA", at positions 28 to 507 of the family's 1533-position model. The record is from RNAcentral.
GAUGAACGCUAGCGGCAGGCCUAACACAUGCAAGUCGAGGGGUAACGUGAGUGCUUGCACUUGACGACGACCGGCGCACGGGUGCGGAACGCGUAUGGAACCUACCUUUAUCAGGGGGAUAGCCCAUGGAAACGUGGAUUAAUACCCCAUAGUAUUAUUUCAUUGCAUGAUGAUAUAAUUAAAGAAUUUCGGAUAGAGAUGGCCAUGCGUAUCAUUAGCUAGUAGGCGAGGUAACGGCUCACCUAGGCGACGAUGAUUAGGGGUCCUGAGAGGGAGAUCCCCCACACUGGUACUGAGACACGGUCCAGACUCCUACGGGAGGCAGCAGUGGGGAAUUUUCCGCAAUGGGCGAAAGCCUGACGGAGCAAUACCGCGUGAGGGAAGACGGCCUAUGGGUUGUAAACCUCUUUUCUCAGGGAGGAACUCAAUGACGUUACCUGAGGAAUAAGCAUCGGCUAACUCCGUG